AUGCUCACGGCUUUUCAAUUUCCAAAUCCCCGCAGCACUGCCGCGAUACUCAACUUUCUGUACAUUUUACAGCGGAUCGUGAAUGCACAAGAAAAAUAUGAUGUAUGGCAACUGCUGAACUUUCUGUACAUUUUACAGCGGAGAUCUGUGAUUUCUAUGGCGUCGCUUCACCUGCUAUCUCCCGAGCUCGCGAAGCUCCCGCGCCAGCUCCUCCACCUCCCGCCACGAGCUGCCGCCUUCGCGCACCGCCGCCGCGGCCUCCUCGGCCAGCUCCCUGGCCCGCGCGGCCACGUCGCCCCACUCCCGCCCCUUCCCCACGACGGUCGACUCGAGCACGUUCACCAGCUCGUCGGCGCUCGGCGGCGUGGCGACGCCGCCCCAGCAGAACGGCACGGCGGCGCGCAGCUCCUCCACGAGCAGCCGCGCGUUCACGAACUGGUCGGACGUCAUCGGCCACGCCAGGAUGGUCACCCCGGCCGCCGCGGACUCCAGCACCGAGUUCCACCCGCAGUGCGUCACGAACCAGCCCACCGCCCGGUGCCGCAGCGCGGCCACCUGCGGCGCCCACCCGCGGAUCACCGUGCCCCUGCCGCCCGCCGCCGCGCGCUCCUCGAACCCGUCCGGGAGCGUCGCAGGGCCGACCGCCCACACGAACGCCGCGCCUGUCUUCUCCAGGGCGGCGGCCAGCGCCGCCGCGUGAGCUGGCUGCAGCACCGCCAUGCUCCCGAAGCUGAUGUACACGACGGAUCUGUCCUCGAACUUGUCGAGCCAGGCGCACAGGUCGGCCGCGGCCACCGCCGUCUCCCCGCCGCGGUUGCCCGCGGCGUCGGCCUCCGGCGCCAGCGGCCCCACCGCGCGCACGCGCCGGAAGCCCAGGUCCGCCGGAGGCGCCUCCAGGUACCGCCCCUCGAGCCGCCGGAACGUGUUCGACACGAACGCCGAGCAAUCCAGGUUCCAGAGGAAGUUCCUCCUGACCCCCUCCGUAACCUCGUCGCCCUCCUUGUACGUCCGGUAGAGCAGGCUGAGCUGCCGCCACGGGUACACCGGGGCGCCCGGGAGAUCCGGGAAGGCGAUCGGGCACUCGUCGUCGCUCUCGUCCUCGCGGCUGGGCAGCCGGCGCAGGAGCGAGUGGAGCACGGCGGUGGCGUAAGCAGCAGAGGACGAGAACGCGACGCGAGGGAGGCCGAGCUCGGCGGCGAGCGGCUGCGUCCACCCGCAGAAGAAGUCGGAGAGUAUGGCGACGACGCGGUCCGGGGUGCCCGCGCGGGCGCGCACCCAGGAGCCGAGCGGGCCACGGAGCCCCGCGAAGGCGACGAUGAGCGCGCCGAAGAGCACGGGCGGGCACCCCUUGGCGCUCUCGACGCCGGCGGGGAAGGCCGGGUGGGAGGGGAACGGGAGAGUGAGCGCGCGGACGGCGCCGCCCGGAUGCGCGGCGAGGAGGGGCGCGAGGAGCGGCGCGGUGCCGGGCGUGGCGACGACGGUGAGGCGGAGCCCGCGGGCCGCGAGGAGGCCGACGAGGUCGAGGAGCGGGAUCGUGUGGCCCUGCGCCGGGUACGGGACGACCAGGACGUGGGGCGCCGGAGCGGUGGAGCUAUCGCCGGUGGCGCCGGUGGCCAUUGCUAUGGUGGCAGUGGUGGUGUCGCGGUGAAUUGUGACCUGGGGUGGGGUGGGGUGCGACGUCUGCGGUGUUUGGUCGCCCGUCUCCCUCUCUAUCAAAAAAAAGAAGUCUAG
RNAcentral lists this ribosomal RNA (1731 nucleotides) under Triticum aestivum (bread wheat). RNAcentral describes it as "partial small subunit ribosomal RNA". The record is from RNAcentral. Lineage: Eukaryota; Viridiplantae; Streptophyta; Magnoliopsida; Poales; Poaceae.